UAUCAUAAUUACUUUAAAUAAUUUUUAUGCUAUUUUAUUAAAUUCCAGUUACAUGCAAGGGACAUAAUAAUAAAUAUAUGCAACUGUUUCUGUCAAGGCACCUACAGAAUUUCAAAUUUAUUUCCAUGUCAUUCUUGGAAAAAUAUGUCAUGCCAUUCUAACCAUUUUAUUUUUUGUAAAUGGACAUACCGAGGUGCUAAACAAAUUAUUUAUCAAUUGGCUUCAGGAAUUAACUAAUUCAGAGAAGCCAGGUUGAAAGAUUCUAGGGAAACUUUUUAGAGUAAUUGUUUCUGAGUUUGAAAUCUUUAGAGUUUUAUUCAUCAGAAUUGAGUUCUCUUCUGAACAAACAGGAAUAAUAAUGCAGAUUGAUGUCGUGGAUGAUGAAGUGCCAGAACGGAUACCUUUUUGAAUCUCUAUUUGUGAAAAAUCUGAACAGCUGCCCUCCCACGUGUUUGCGGAUAAGACCCACACACGAUGUGUGCAGAUUACUUAAAGGACCUUAAAUAGUUAUUUGGUUGGAACUUAUGCCUGGGAAAUACUUUGUCAAGGAAAUUCUGCUUCUGAAAUAGAAAAUGAUGAAAAAUAGCAAUGGUGCUUAAGAAAAAUCAUUUUCUCAAGUUUCUUGUUUGACAUGAAGAAGUGAGUUUUGGUGAUGUCAAGGAAAAAUGCAUACACAGAAAGUAAGAAAAGAUGGAAAAUAAUCCUGGGAAGAAAAUGGAACUCAUUUAUUUUCCUAUUGUGACAUGGCUUAGGAAAAUAUCAUUUAAAUCAUAUUCCUCCUGAGUAAAGAAUUGUCU
Molecule: long non-coding RNA, 797 nt
Filed under: Callithrix jacchus (white-tufted-ear marmoset)
Lineage: Eukaryota; Metazoa; Chordata; Mammalia; Primates; Cebidae
Description: lncRNA (ENSCJAG00000070008.1)
Source: RNAcentral